Molecule: ribosomal RNA, 254 nt
Filed under: uncultured bacterium
Lineage: Bacteria
Description: partial 16S ribosomal RNA
Rfam family: Bacterial small subunit ribosomal RNA
Source: RNAcentral
UACGGAGGGUGCGAGCGUUGUCCGGAAUCAUUGGGCGUAAAGGGCGCGUAGGUGGCCCGGUCAGUUCGUGGUGAAAGCGCGGGGCUCAACCCUGCGUCGGCCAUGAAUACUGCCGCGGCUGGAGCACUGUAGAGGCAGGCGGAAUUCCGGGUGUAGCGGUGGAAUGCGUAGAUAUCUGGAGGAACACCGGUGGCGAAGGCGACAUCCUGGACCGGUAUUGACGCUGAGGCGCGAAAGCCAGGGGAGCAAACGGG